Molecule: ribosomal RNA, 486 nt
Filed under: uncultured bacterium
Lineage: Bacteria
Description: bacterial SSU rRNA
Rfam family: Bacterial small subunit ribosomal RNA
Source: RNAcentral
UAAUACAUGCAAGUUGAGCGCUGAAGGAAGGUACUGUACCGACUGGAUGAGCAGCGAACGGGUGAGUAACGCGUGGGGAAUCUGCCUUGAGCGGGGGACAACAUUUGGAAACGAAUGCUAAUACCGCAUAAAAGCGAAAGACAUAAGUUUUCUGUUUAAAAGAUGCAAUUGCAUCACUCAAAGAUGAUCCCGCGUUGGAUUAGCUAGUUGGUAGGGUAACGGCCUACCAAGGCGAUGAUCCAUAGCCGGCCUGAGAGGGUGAACGGCCACAUUGGGACUGAGACACGGCCCAAACUCCUACGGGAGGCAGCAGUAGGGAAUCUUCGGCAAUGGGGGCAACCCUGACCGAGCAACGCCGCGUGAGUUGAAGAAGGUUUUCGGAUCGUAAAGCUCUGUUGAUAGUAAAGAACGUGUGUGAGAGUGGAAAGUUCACGCAGUGACGGUAACUAUCCAGAAAGGGACGGCUAACUACGUGCCAGCCGCCGC